RNAcentral lists this ribosomal RNA (422 nucleotides) under uncultured bacterium. RNAcentral's name for it is "bacterial SSU rRNA". It matches the Rfam family "Bacterial small subunit ribosomal RNA", at positions 486 to 905 of the family's 1533-position model. The record is from RNAcentral.
AAAAGCACCGGCUAACUACGUGCCACCCGCCGCGGUAAUACGUAGGGUGCAAGCGUUGUCCGGAAUUAUUGGGCGUAAAGAGCUCGUAGGCGGUUUGUCACGUCUGCUGUGAAAUUUCGAGGCUCAACCUCGAACUUGCAGUGGGUACGGGCAGGCUAGAGUGCAGUAGGGGAGAUGGGAAUUCCUGGUGUAGCGGUGGAAUGCGCAGAUAUCAGGAGGAACACCAAUGGCGAAGGCACAUCUCUGGGCUGUAACUGACGCUGAGGAGCGAAAGCGUGGGGAGCGAACAGGAUUAGAUACCCUGGUAGUCCACGCCGUAAACGGUGGGUGCUAGCUGUGGGCCACAUUCCACGUGGUCCGUGACGAAGUUAACACAUUAAGCACCCCGCCUGGGGAGUACGGCCGCAAGGCUAAAACUCAAA